ACAGAUAUAAUUUUACCUGAUCAACCCUUGACCCUUAACCACAUUCUGUACACAUACAUAACAAAUUUCACAGAACUUAAUCACAUAAAUCCUUAAUCCUGAAUAAUUCACCUAAAUCUUUCACAGAAUUUUGAAAUCCUCAAAAUUCAAUCCUAAUAACAUCAAACGCAUACACUUAUUUUCUGUCUAGGUCUAAUAUUUGAC
This 204-nucleotide long non-coding RNA is filed under the name Panax ginseng (ginseng). RNAcentral's name for it is "long non-coding RNA (PGIN_LNC005215)". The record is from RNAcentral. Lineage: Eukaryota; Viridiplantae; Streptophyta; Magnoliopsida; Apiales; Araliaceae.